AUCCAGCUGACGAGUCCCAAAUAGGGCGAAAUGCGCGUCAAACUAAAU
Non-coding RNA from Schistosoma rodhaini, 48 nucleotides. NCBI's taxonomy places the organism in Eukaryota, Metazoa, Platyhelminthes, Trematoda, Strigeidida, Schistosomatidae. The record is from Rfam.